Non-coding RNA from Manis javanica (Malayan pangolin), 927 nucleotides. NCBI's taxonomy places the organism in Eukaryota, Metazoa, Chordata, Mammalia, Pholidota, Manidae. The record is from RefSeq and is a predicted model, not a curated record.
GACAGGAAGCUGAGGCAUUGUGUGGGGGUUUGGACUUUGGACACACAGCUGAAGCCCAGUGUAUCUCAAGGCUGUGGAAAGAUGGACUUGCCUCACAGGAUUAUUUAGGAUUAACUGAAACAGGUGCAGAGAGGGAGCCCAGCUAUGCGGUUUGGGGCACGUUGCUAAACAUCUCCAUGCCUCCGUUUCCUCACCUGUGAAAUGGAGAUGUUCAUAGUACCUGUCUCAGAUGUUAAUACACGUGAAGUGUUUAGAAUGGCACCUGGCAUGUGCAUGUAUGACUUCAACCAAUAGAGGAAGGCAGAAGUGACACUGUGUGACUUCCAAGGCUGGAUCAAAGAAGACCAGCUAGCUCCACCACCUCUAUUUGGGACAUGCACUCUGGGGGAAGCCAGCAGCAGGUAAGAGGUCUAAACACCCUGAGACCACAGUGCAGGAGAGGCCAUGUCCAGUUGCUCCAGCUGCCAGUACAGUGAAGCUCCCAGGCCACAGCCAGCACCAGCGGCCAGCCACAAGACUGGAUGGUCUUGGACAUUCAGCCCAGUUGAGGCUUCAGACAAUGGCAACCCAAGCCAGCAUCUUGACUGCUGCUGUAAGAAAUUCCAAGCAAGAACUGCUCAGUUGUGCUCUUCCCAACCCAUAAAAGCAUGAUCAAAAUAAAAUGUUUGUUUUCAGCUGCCAAGUUUUGGGGUAACAUGUUAGGCAUUAGUAGGAAGCAGGUUAUUUCUUUAGUACUUUCCCCUUCACAAAGACUUCCAGAAUCCUGUUAUCCCAGAGUCUAUGUGACAUCCCCACUGGAGAAUGUCUCAUCCCAACCCACCAGUAUUUCAAAGUUAACAUGUCUAAAAGGAAACUCUUGGUCCCAACCCACCUCUCAUUCCUUAGUCUAUCCUGUCCAAUAAAUGGCACCUCCUUCCCAGUUUGUAA